GAUGAACGCUGGCGGCGUGCCUAAUACAUGCAAGUCGAGCGAACGGACGAGAAGCUUGCUUCUCUGAUGUUAGCGGCGGACGGGUGAGUAACACGUGGAUAACCUACCUAUAAGACUGGGAUAACUUCGGGAAACCGUAGCUAAUACCGGAUAAUAUUUUGAACCGCAUGGUUCAAAAGUGAAAGACGGUCUUGCUGUCACUUAUAGAUGGAUCCGCGCUGCAUUAGCUAGUUGGUAAGGUAACGGCCUACCAAGGCAACGAUGCAUAGCCGACCUGAGAGGGGUAUGGGCCAAACUGGAACGGAAAAAGGGUCCAGACGACUAGGGGGGGCAGAAGUAGGGAAUCUUCCGCAAGGGGAGAAAGCCGAACGGGGAAACGCCGCGGGGGGGAUGAAGGUCUUCGGAUGGUAAAACUCUGUUUUUAGGAAAGAAAAAAUGGGAAAGUAACUGGGAAAAUUUUGACGGUACUAAAUCAGAAAGCCACGGAUAAAUACGG
This 496-nucleotide ribosomal RNA is filed under the name uncultured bacterium. RNAcentral's name for it is "partial 16S ribosomal RNA". It matches the Rfam family "Bacterial small subunit ribosomal RNA", at positions 28 to 506 of the family's 1533-position model. The record is from RNAcentral.